This is a non-coding RNA of Pelobates cultripes (western spadefoot toad), 318 nucleotides long. The record is from the annotation of a GenBank genome assembly. Lineage: Eukaryota; Metazoa; Chordata; Amphibia; Anura; Pelobatidae.
GAUUAACUAUGUUACUAUUUCAUCUAUCAUUAUUAUACAAACUAUAACAAAUGUAAAGAUUUUUCCACAGAUUUUACCUGUUAACAUUUUUAGCACAACAGCACCUGAUGUCAGUGAGAUGUCUAUCACUGAGAUGUUACAAAGAUUCCAAUACAGCAAAAAGAGGUGUUCCUGAGAAUCCACUUCGAUUGCUGUAUCAACAUAACAUUUACUAUGGGAUCCAUGUCACUUAAGACAAUGUCUUGGAAAUUAUGUCAAUUAAUUAAUACCGUAAAAGAAUAUCGGAGAGUAUCCAAUCUAUACACAUCAUAAACUGUG